AUGGAGGAUAACAAUGCACUGCAAGUUCUUAAUCUUAAAGAAAACCAACUUUAUGGACAACUGCCACAUAAUGUCAAUGAAAGUUGCAUGUUUGAGGCACUAGACUUGAGUGGCAACCGGAUUGAAGGACAGUUGCCAAAAUCUCUAACUUCUUGCAAGUACCUGGAGGUCCUUGAUAUCGGACACAAUCAAAUUAGUGACUCUCUUCCAUGUUGGAUGACUGCACUUCCCAGAUUUGAAGUCCUCGUCCUAAAGUCUAAUAAGAUACUUGGACAGCUGUCACCUUCUGUUGAUGAUGAGAAAAACACUUGUGAGUUUCCAAGGCUGCGGAUCCUGGAUCUGGCCUCCAACAACUUAUCAGGACAAAGUAGGAAUUUAAUGAAAAAUAGAAUAAGGAUAUACAAACAAAAACUAAUCCUAGUGAAAAGGCGGAAUAAAUGGGGUUGGUAA
This 450-nucleotide ribosomal RNA is filed under the name Triticum aestivum (bread wheat). RNAcentral's name for it is "partial small subunit ribosomal RNA". Lineage: Eukaryota; Viridiplantae; Streptophyta; Magnoliopsida; Poales; Poaceae. The record is from RNAcentral.